CCUACGGGAGGCUGCAGUGAGGAAUAUUGGUCAAUGGACGAGAGUCUGAACCAGCCAAGUAGCGUGAAGGAUGACUGCCCUAUGGGUUGUAAACUUCUUUUAUAUGGGAAUAAAACGUUCCACGUGUGGGAUUUUGUAUGUACCAUAUGAAUAAGGAUCGGCUAACUCCGUGCCAGCAGCCGCGGUAAUACGGAGGAUCCGAGCGUUAUCCGGAUUUAUUGGGUUUAAAGGGAGCGUAGGUGGAUUGUUAAGUCAGUUGUGAAAGUUUGCGGCUCAACCGUAAAAUUGCAGUUGAAACUGGCAGUCUUGAGUACAGUAGAGGUGAGCGGAAUUCGUGGUGUAGCGGUGAAAUGCUUAGAUAUCACGAAGAACUCCGAUUGCGAAGGCAGUUCACUGGACUGCAACUGACACUGAGGCUCGAAAGUGUGGGUAUCAAACAGGAUUAGAUACCCUUGUAGUC
Molecule: ribosomal RNA, 460 nt
Filed under: uncultured bacterium
Lineage: Bacteria
Description: partial 16S ribosomal RNA
Rfam family: Bacterial small subunit ribosomal RNA
Source: RNAcentral